CACUAAAAGCAAGUAACUCCUUUUACAAAAACGUGAUGUCACAUAAUUGUUAUUCUCAAAACGGGUUUUUCCUUAGCGAUUUUUAUUUUUUAGUAUCCACAUUGGCCGGAAGACCGCGCUAUUUAGCGCACUGAAGUUCGUAACACACGGCAGAAUGAUCGUCUCAUUAGUUCACUGAUGCUGUACUCUCAGUAUUAAUAAAAACUACGUAAUUAUGUGCAAUAAAUAUACAGUGGUUAAUUGUUUUGGUUAAAUAACAAUUAUUAUUAAUAUAAAAAUGAAAGUGAAUUUGUUUAGUUUGUUUCUCAUAUUUGUGAUAUUAGCUUUAAGUUUACAAGAAUCUCUGGCUGCCAUCAAACCGAGGCGAUCGUGCAAGUACGAUUGUGAUGAGUACUGCCAAACCAAGGGUUCCAGCUCUGGUGUAUGUCUACGGUCUAUAUGCAAGUGUUCUUCGCUCAAUACAAUAUUUGAUUAAGCCAUCGAGAAAGUACGAGAAUGUUCCAUGAAUUUAGAAGAAUAAAUUAUUAGGUAGUA
Molecule: long non-coding RNA, 534 nt
Organism: Helicoverpa zea (corn earworm)
Lineage: Eukaryota; Metazoa; Arthropoda; Insecta; Lepidoptera; Noctuidae
Exons: 2
Source: RefSeq, a predicted model, not a curated record